Misgurnus anguillicaudatus (oriental weatherfish) is the source of this 814-nucleotide non-coding RNA. Lineage: Eukaryota; Metazoa; Chordata; Actinopteri; Cypriniformes; Cobitidae. The record is from RefSeq and is a predicted model, not a curated record.
AUUAAAGCUAGGGUAGGUAAUCCUGUUCAGAUACAUUUUUUUUAAUACUGGGUGAAAUGGUCCUUCUAUCCUGAGAGUAGUCAAUACAUUAUGUGGUCAGAAAAAGGAAUGAAAACAAUCAGACCUCUGUAGCAGCUGCAGGACAGUAAAAACUCCGACUAAUCACUGCCAUGCGGUGCGAAUGUAAAGAACCAAUCAGAUGCCUUCAUGUCUCGUGCCCGACCCCCACUGCGCGCGCUGCCCUGCGUGCACUAAUCACGUCACUGUUCCCUGAAAUAUUCAGUCUCACUACACCGAGUAAGCAGGAGUUUGCGGCACCGGCACAAUGGAAGAUAAAAAGCAGCCAAAACUACCACUGCCAGCUUUGCUGGUAACUGCUCGCCCUAAUAAAAAAACCUAGAAAAAGAAAAUCUGAGGCAGAAAAGGCUGCAACUAAACAGGUACUGGAUAAAGCCAGAGGACAAACUCGCGUAAACAUCGGUGGAGCAUUUGAACGGUGGAGACAACUGAGGGAGCUGAAGGGCCUGAAAAGCGAUGCCGAGGUUGCGGUCUUUCUGCUGAACAGGUAAAUCACUGCCAAAGGAGUAGAUCACCACAGAAGACAACGCAUCAUGCAAAGCCUGACCUGUCAGCCAUCCAUGGACACUCAUUUUCUAACAUAUAUAUAUUUCAAAUUUAUUAUAUGUAAAUACAGAUUGUUUAUGACAAUCAAAAGCAACAAAAGGACAGAUAGUUGUUUAAAAAAGUAUUCCUCUUAGGUCUCUCUUGUUGUUGUUGGUGUUGUUUUUUUAAUAAAACAAAAAGUGUUAUACCA